Molecule: ribosomal RNA, 493 nt
Filed under: uncultured bacterium
Lineage: Bacteria
Description: partial 16S ribosomal RNA
Rfam family: Bacterial small subunit ribosomal RNA
Source: RNAcentral
ACGAACGCUGGCGGCGUGCUUAACACCUGCCAGUCGAACGGUGAAGCGCCUUCCUUUUUGGUGGGUGUGGAUGAGUGGCGAACGGGUGAGUAACACGUGAGUAACCUGCCCCCUUCUUCUGGAUAACCGCAUGAAAGUGUGGCUAAUACGGGAUAUUCUGGGUCUGUCGCAUGAUGGGUCUGGGAAAGAUAUUGUUUCGGUGGGGGAUGGGCUCGCGGCCUAUCAGCUUGUUGGUGGGGUGAUGGCCUACCAAGGCGGUGACGGGUAGCCGGCCUGAGAGGGUGGACGGUCACACUGGGACUGAGACACGGCCCAGACUCCUACGGGAGGCAGCAGUGGGGAAUAUUGCACAAUGGGCGCAAGCCUGAUGCAGCGACGCCGCGGGAGGGAUGGAGGCCUUCGGGUUGUGAACCUCUUUCGCCAGUGAAGCAGGCCUGCCUCGUUUGUGGGUGGGUUGACGGUAGCUGGAUAAGAAGCGCCGGCUAACUACGUG